CUGAAAACCUAGCUUACCCAAUUCCUAUGAAUAUACCACCUUAACAUAAACUAAAUAAAACAUUUUGUACAUUUAGUAAAGGCGAUUAAAAAAUGUCUCAAAGCUAUAGAAACUAGUACCGCAAGGGAAAAGUGAAAUAUUAGUGAAAAACCUCAAGCACAAAAAAGUAGAGCUAUAACCUCGUACCUUUUGCAUCAUGGUCUAACUAGUUCAACCAAGCAAAAUGAAUUUUAAGUUUGACUUCCCGAAACUAAGUGAGCUACUUAAAAACAGCCCUCCGGGCCAACCCGUCUCUGUUGCAAAAGAGUGGGAAGAUUUUUAAGUAGAGGUGAUAGACCUACCGAACCUAGAGAUAGCUGGUUAUUCAGGAAAAGGAUUUAAGUCCUACCUUAAGUUUACAGUAUA
RNAcentral lists this ribosomal RNA (405 nucleotides) under Microhyla fissipes (ornate chorus frog). RNAcentral describes it as "partial large subunit ribosomal RNA". It matches the Rfam family "Bacterial large subunit ribosomal RNA", at positions 163 to 897 of the family's 2925-position model. The record is from RNAcentral. Lineage: Eukaryota; Metazoa; Chordata; Amphibia; Anura; Microhylidae.